UUGACGUUUUACACUUUGAGAGAGUUGACCAAUGUCAUCACUUAGGGCUUCCACAUAUCAAAUAUUGAUGAUUUCCACAAGACACAUGCACUUCCAUAUCACAGAUCAUUCAUGGAUGAUUCGAGGGAUAGAUAAUAGCAAAGAUAAGAAGCCUCUCUACUCAUAAUUCAUAAGCUUGCUAGUUCUCAAUCUAAAUAGGUAACACUUUGAAAGGAAAAUGAAUCUUGAGCUAUUACUCAUUUCCCGGAUCAAGAGACUACCAGCUUUUUUCCAAACAAUCCAAGAUGCCAUUUAAUUAUAUGAAGACAGCAUUUGUUUCCAGUUUUAAGGAGGUCAACGGAUGCUCCAUUUUCAGGCAUGGAACACACAUUUCGAAAAGCACAGAAAUCAGGAAGACGAGAGAGAGAGAGAAUCAAGCAUUUUGCAUUAAGGUACAUAAUCUAAAGCCUAAUGAGAAACAAA
Molecule: unclassified non-coding RNA, 462 nt
Filed under: Hevea brasiliensis (rubber tree)
Lineage: Eukaryota; Viridiplantae; Streptophyta; Magnoliopsida; Malpighiales; Euphorbiaceae
Source: RNAcentral